Molecule: ribosomal RNA, 497 nt
Filed under: uncultured bacterium
Lineage: Bacteria
Description: partial 16S ribosomal RNA
Rfam family: Bacterial small subunit ribosomal RNA
Source: RNAcentral
GAUGAACGCUGGCGGCGUGCCUAAUACAUGCAAGUCGAGCGAACAGACGAGGAGCUUGCUCCUCUGACGUUAGCGGCGGACGGGUGAGUAACACGUGGAUAACCUACCUAUAAGACUGGGAUAACUUCGGGAAACCGGAGCUAAUACCGGAUAAUAUAUUGAACCGCAUGGUUCAAUAGUGAAAGACGGUUUUGCUGUCACUUAUAGAUGGAUCCGCGCCGCAUUAGCUAGUUGGUAAGGUAACGGCUUACCAAGGCGACGAUGCGUAGCCGACCUGAGAGGGUGAUCGGCCACACUGGAACUGAGACACGGUCCAGACUCCUACGGGAGGCAGCAGUAGGGAAUCUUCCGCAAUGGGCGAAAGCCUGACGGAGCAAUGCCGCGUGAGUGAUGAAGGUCUUCGGAUCGUAAAACUCUGUUAUUAGGGAAGAACAAAUGUGUAAGUAACUAUGCACGUCUUGACGGUACCUAAUCAGAAAGCCACGGCUAACUACGUG